AUUCUUCUCCUUCCUGUCACCAUGUGAAAGAUAUGCUUGUUUCCUCUUCUGCCGUGAUUGCUUAUAAACAGAAGGGACUUGCCUUGUCUCAGAUGAGACUUUGGACUUAGACUUUUGGGUAAUGCUGCAAUGAGCUAAGACCUGCGCUGAUGGAAAGACUGAAGUACAGUGACACGAUCUUGGCUCACUGCAACCUCUGCUUCCUGGGUUCGAGCGAUUCUCCGGCCUCAGUCUCCCAAGCAGCUGAAACUACAGAUGCAGAUAAGAAACGUGGGAAGCCACAAGAAAGCCAAGUAGCCUGGGAAAAAGUGGUCAUUGAGCCAUGAGAAAAAAUUAACAUUUGAUCCUGUUGGUGCCACCUGAAGGCAGAGAUGGCUGAGGACCCCCGAGUGUAAGUCCAGAGAGCUCCCCUGCAGCCCCACCCUGACUUUCCAGGAUGAGCCUUCUCUAGGAAGCCACUGCUCAUUCGGAAAGUGAAGAACGCCUGUGUUUCCAACACCAACCCCAGCUCUGCUGACAUCUCAGGAUGGCAGGACCACGCGUGAUGGAAUACCAGGCAGGGGAGACUCAAAUU
Long non-coding RNA from Homo sapiens (human), 574 nucleotides. Ensembl annotates it as long intergenic non-protein coding RNA 2392. Lineage: Eukaryota; Metazoa; Chordata; Mammalia; Primates; Hominidae. The record is from Ensembl.